This 17-nucleotide unclassified non-coding RNA is filed under the name Mus musculus (house mouse). Its description in RNAcentral is "oocyte_clustered_small_RNA11668". Lineage: Eukaryota; Metazoa; Chordata; Mammalia; Rodentia; Muridae. The record is from RNAcentral.
AGAGCAGUUUGUGCAUC